UCUCAAGUAUGGAUAACCCCAAGAACGGGACAGAGAUAAAACCCAGGGAAGACAGCCUGUGGCGUCACAAAGCCAAGUGUUAAACGUCAGUCCUAGUGACUAGGGUGGCUGCCAAAACACUGUGGCUUCUGUGGGGGCUCCACGUAGUAAAGUGUCCUUCCGUCCUCUCCAGGACCCCAUGGGAGGCUGGCAUUAGGCAGCCACUUCAGGAGGUGCAGUGCCAGAUGCAUGAUGUCGUGCCUUUCCGAGUCACCCUCCGGAGGGGCCAGAAGGGAUGUGACCAGGAGGUGGCUGACCAGGACAGGACAAUUCCCAGACUCCCCAGUGUGGAGUCGAUAAACAGCCAGGCAGUGCGAGUUUAUUUGGAACACACGUUGAGCCAGGGAAGCCCGAGAGAGAUACAAGUAUGCUUGAAUGUCCACCACCUUCCGGGCACUGUGUUGACGUGGGACAUGGCAGCGAACGAGACAAACCCUGCAGAGCCCUGGGGAUCUCACAUGAGCAACCCCCAAGGACUUUCUCUGCCCUCCCCUCCCGGGAGGAACUUCUGUGAACCUGGAGACCUCCUGGCUCUGCCCAAGCUGGUCUUGAUUAUCCAGCUACACUGCAGGGAAGAGAGGAGAGAGGGGCUGCUCAGUCCAGCCAGGUCGAAGGCAAGGGUUCCCUUCCCUUGGACAGAUGGGCGCCUUGAUGUGUCCACUCAUUCAUUUGUUCAAUAAGGAUUGACGAAGCAUCUUCUGUGCCAGCCGCUGUGCUAGGCUCUGGUGAGGGUAGGUGAGAAAGCUGUGGAAAGGACCUGUUGUUUGUGCAAGGACAGAUGACUAACAUGAAGGAUGAAGGAGCCCUUUCUCUGGGGGCAAGUGGGCACCUGACAGCGAAGGAGAGACACACAUAGGCACCCUAAUAAAACUACUCUGAGAGCUCUUUGUGGCAGGGCUGGGUCCCGGGGCAGCCUGUUUGUCAGGGCCAGGAUCCAGCCCCACACUGUGUUUCCUUUGUGUUCACGGGUCCACCAUGUGGG
Molecule: long non-coding RNA, 1021 nt
Filed under: Equus caballus (horse)
Lineage: Eukaryota; Metazoa; Chordata; Mammalia; Perissodactyla; Equidae
Description: lncRNA (ENSECAG00000054682.1)
Source: RNAcentral